RNAcentral lists this ribosomal RNA (449 nucleotides) under uncultured bacterium. RNAcentral describes it as "partial 16S ribosomal RNA". It matches the Rfam family "Bacterial small subunit ribosomal RNA", at positions 29 to 523 of the family's 1533-position model. The record is from RNAcentral.
AACGAACGCUGGCGGCAUGCCUAACACAUGCAAGUCGAACGAGAUCUUCGGGUCUAGUGGCGCACGGGUGCGUAACGCGUGGGAAUCUGCCCUUUGGUUCGGAAUAACAGUUGGAAACGACUGCUAAUACCGGAUGAUGACGACAGUCCAAAGAUUUAUCGCCAGAGGAUGAGCCCGCGUAGGAUUAGCUAGUUGGUGUGGUAAAGGCGCCCCAAGGCGACGAUCCAUAGCUGGUCUGAGAGGAUGAUCAGCCACACUGGGACUGAGACACGGCCCAGCAACCUACGGGAGGCAGCAGUGGGGAAUAUUGGACAGUGGGCGAAAGCCUGAUCCAGCAAUGCCGCGUCGGUGAUGGAGGCCUUAGGGUUGUAAAGCUCUUUUACACGGGAUGAUAAUGACAGUACCGGGAGAAUAAGCUCCGGCUAACUCCGUGCCAGCAGCCGCCGUAA